RNAcentral lists this ribosomal RNA (810 nucleotides) under uncultured bacterium. Its description in RNAcentral is "bacterial SSU rRNA". It matches the Rfam family "Bacterial small subunit ribosomal RNA", at positions 8 to 807 of the family's 1533-position model. The record is from RNAcentral.
AGAGUUUGAUCCUGGCUCAGAUUGAACGCUGGCGGCAUGCUUUACACAUGCAAGUCGGACGGCAGCACAGAGAAGCUUGCUUCUUGGGUGGCGAGUGGCGAACGAGUGAGUAACAUAUCGGAACGUACCGAGUAAUGGGGGAUAACUAAUCGAAAGAUUAGCUAAUACCGCAUAUUCUCUGAGGAGGAAAGCAGGGGACCUUCGGGCCUUGCGUUAUUCGAGCGGCCGAUAUCUGAUUAGCUAGUUGGUGGGGUAAAGGCCUACCAAGGCGACGAUCAGUAGCGGGUCUGAGAGGAUGAUCCGCCACACUGGGACUGAGACACGGCCCAGACUCCUACGGGAGGCAGCAGUGGGGAAUUUUGGACAAUGGGCGCAAGCCUGAUCCAGCCAUGCCGCGUGUCUGAAGAAGGCCUUCGGGUUGUAAAGGACUUUUGUCAGGGAAGAAAAGGCUGUCGCUAAUACCGACAGUUGAUGACGGUACCUGAAGAAUAAGCACCGGCUAACUACGUGCCAGCAGCCGCGGUAAUACGUAGGGUGCGAGCGUUAAUCGGAAUUACUGGGCGUAAAGCGAGCGCAGACGGUUACUUAAGCAGGAUGUGAAAUCCCCGGGCUUAACCUGGGAACUGCGUUCUGAACUGGGUGACUAGAGUGUGUCAGAGGGAGGUAGAAUUCCACGUGUAGCAGUGAAAUGCGUAGAGAUGUGGAGGAAUACCGAUGGCGAAGGCAGCCUCCUGGGAUGACACUGACGUUCAUGCUCGAAAGCGUGGGUAGCAAACAGGAUUAGAUACCCUGGUAGUCCACGCCCUAAAC